This 375-nucleotide ribosomal RNA is filed under the name uncultured bacterium. RNAcentral describes it as "bacterial SSU rRNA". It matches the Rfam family "Bacterial small subunit ribosomal RNA", at positions 28 to 416 of the family's 1533-position model. The record is from RNAcentral.
GACGAACGCUGGCGGCGUGCUUAACACAUGCAAGUCGAGCGGUAAGGCCCUUUCGGGGGUACGACGAGCGGCGAACGGGUGAGUAACACGUGGGAACGUACCUUUUGGUUCGGAACAACACAGGGAAACUUGUGCUAAUACCGAAUAAGCCCUUACGGGGAAAGGAUUUAUCGCCGAAAGAUCGGCCCGCGUCUGAUUAGCUUGUUGGUGAGGUAACGGCUCACCAAGGCGACGAUCAGUAGCUGGUCUGAGAGGAUGAUCAGCCACACUGGGACGUGAGACACGGCCCAGACUCCUACGGGAGGGCAGCAGUGGGGAAGUCUUGCGCAAUGGGCGAAAGCCUGACGCAGCGACGCCGCGUGAGGGAUGACGGCC